UACGUAGGGGCCUAGCGUUGUCCGGAUUUAUUGGGCGUAAAGAGCUCGUAGGCGGUUCGGCAAGUCAGAUGUGAAAUCUCCACGCUUAACGUGGAGGGGCCAUUCGAAACUGCCGUGACUCGAGUCCGGUAGGGGAGUGUGGAAUUCCCGGUGUAGCGGUGAAAUGCGUAGAUAUGCGGAGGAACACCGAUGGCGAAGGCAAUCCCCUGGGCCUGCACUGACGCUCAUGCACGAAAGCGUGGGGAGCAAACAGG
RNAcentral lists this ribosomal RNA (254 nucleotides) under uncultured bacterium. Its description in RNAcentral is "partial 16S ribosomal RNA". It matches the Rfam family "Bacterial small subunit ribosomal RNA", at positions 524 to 776 of the family's 1533-position model. The record is from RNAcentral.